This 210-nucleotide long non-coding RNA is filed under the name Vigna radiata. RNAcentral describes it as "long non-coding RNA (VRAD_LNC008507)". The record is from RNAcentral. Lineage: Eukaryota; Viridiplantae; Streptophyta; Magnoliopsida; Fabales; Fabaceae.
CAAUUUCAUCUUAUCCACUCUCAUAUAUCUACUCUUCUUAUUUACUUCACUUAUUUAUCUAAUUGCCAUGCAUACUUUCUUAUUUACCCUUAACCCAAUCCCUUGGUGAAAAGAGCCUAUUAUUAAUUACCGGCUUGCUAUCCCUAGCUUCCCCUAGUAACCAAUAAUGCAAUGCGUUCAGAAGCAAAUACAAUUGACCGUCCUACCCCU